CCGCAAGGUUGAAACUCAAAGGAAUUGACGGGGACCCGCACAAGCGGUGGAUGAUGUGGUUUAAUUCGAUGCAACGCGAAAAACCUUACCUACCCUUGACAUGCUAGGAAUCCUGCAGAGAUGUGGGAGUGCUCGAAAGAGAGCCUGGACACAGGUGCUGCAUGGCCGUCGUCAGCUCGUGUCGUGAGAUGUUGGGUUAGGUCCCGCAACGAGCGCAACCCUUAUCAUUAGUUGCUACGCAAGGGCACUCUAAUGAGACUGCCGGUGACAAACCGGAGGAAGGUGGGGAUGACGUCAGGUCAUCAUGGCCCUUAUGGGUAGGGCUACACACGUCAUACAAUGGCCGGUACAGAGGGCUGCCAACCCGCGAGGGGGAGCUAAUCUCAGAAAACCGGUCGUAGUCCGGAUCGCAGUCUGCAACUCGACUGCGUGAAGUCGGAAUCGCUAGUAAUCGCGGAUCAGCUUGCCGCGGUGAAUACGUUCCCGGGUCUUGUACACACCGCCCGUCACACCAUGGGAGCGGGUUCUGCCAGAAGUAGUUAGCCUAACCGCAAGGAGGGCGAUUACCACGGCAGGGUUCGUGACUGGGGUGAAG
Molecule: ribosomal RNA, 595 nt
Filed under: uncultured bacterium
Lineage: Bacteria
Description: bacterial SSU rRNA
Rfam family: Bacterial small subunit ribosomal RNA
Source: RNAcentral